Molecule: ribosomal RNA, 253 nt
Filed under: uncultured bacterium
Lineage: Bacteria
Description: partial 16S ribosomal RNA
Rfam family: Bacterial small subunit ribosomal RNA
Source: RNAcentral
UACAGAGGUGGCAAGCGUUGUUCGGAAUUACUGGGCGUAAAGGGCGCGUAGGCGGUCUUGCAAGUCCUGUGUGAAAUCCCUCGGCUCAACUGAGGAACUGCACAGGAAACUGCUUGGCUUGAGUUCGGGAGAGGGAAGCGGAAUUCCGGGUGUAGCGGUGAAAUGCGCAGAUAUUAGGAGGAACACCGGUGGCGAAGGCGCCGCUCUGGGCCGAAACUGACGCUGAGGAGCGAAAGCAUGGGUAGCAAACAGG